UACGUAGGGACCAAGCGUUGUUCGGAAUUACUGGGCGUAAAGGGCUCGUAGGCGGCCAACUAAGUCACACGUGAAAUCCCCAGGCUCAACCUGGGAACUGCGUCCGAUACUGGAUGGCUUGAGUUUGGGAGAGGGAUGCGGAAUUCCAGGUGUAGCGGUGAAAUGCGUAGAUAUCUGGAGGAACACCGGUGGCGAAGGCGGCAUCCUGGACCAACACUGACGCUGAGGAGCGAAAGCCAGGGGAGCAAACGGG
This 253-nucleotide ribosomal RNA is filed under the name uncultured bacterium. RNAcentral describes it as "partial 16S ribosomal RNA". It matches the Rfam family "Bacterial small subunit ribosomal RNA", at positions 524 to 776 of the family's 1533-position model. The record is from RNAcentral.